This 371-nucleotide ribosomal RNA is filed under the name uncultured bacterium. RNAcentral describes it as "bacterial SSU rRNA". It matches the Rfam family "Bacterial small subunit ribosomal RNA", at positions 527 to 896 of the family's 1533-position model. The record is from RNAcentral.
GUAGAGUGCGAGCGUUAAUCGGAAUUAUUGGGCUAAAGCGUGCGCAGGCGGUUUUGUAAGACAGAUGUGAAAUCCCCCGGGCUCAACUGGGACCUCGCAUUUGUGGCUGCAAGGCUGGAGUACGGUAGAGGGGGAUGGAAUUCCGCGUGUAGCAGUGAAAUGCGUAGAUAUGCGUGUUAAACACCGAUGGCGAAGGCAAUGCCCCUGGACCUGUACUGACGCUCAUGCACGAAAGCGUGGGGAGCAAACAGGAUUAGAUACCCUGGUAGUCCACGCCCUAAACGAUGUCAACUGGUUGUUGGGGGUUUGACACUUCAGUAACGAAGCUAACGCGUGAAGUUGUCCGCCUGGGGAGUGCGGCCGCAAGGUUA